Hibiscus syriacus is the source of this 278-nucleotide long non-coding RNA. RefSeq lists it as uncharacterized. Lineage: Eukaryota; Viridiplantae; Streptophyta; Magnoliopsida; Malvales; Malvaceae. The record is from RefSeq and is a predicted model, not a curated record. The transcript is spliced from 3 exons.
UACAAAACCCCAGGCUGGAUUUUAAUAUAGAAGGGCUUCUUACGAAAGAUAUUAUUCAAUCACGAGUUGGCCCUUCUUCUACUCUGGGGUUUUCUUCUGAUUUUAUCUGUUGGUUAUCCUUCAUUGCACCCGUCUCAACCUGGACUUGUUCAAGCUGCUCUUCCUGUUACAGGGAAUAACGCAGAUGUUAUUCGUAGAUCUCUUAGUUCUCAAUUAGCAUUGAUGACCGGAGGAUUAAAGGACUCCAAUCAGUUCUUGAAUCCAUGGGAGGACGAGCU